RNAcentral lists this ribosomal RNA (445 nucleotides) under uncultured bacterium. RNAcentral describes it as "partial 16S ribosomal RNA". It matches the Rfam family "Bacterial small subunit ribosomal RNA", at positions 354 to 796 of the family's 1533-position model. The record is from RNAcentral.
GUAGGGAAUAUUGGGCAAUGGAGGCAACUCUGACCCAGCCAUGCCGCGUGCAGGAUGACGGCCCUCUGGGUUGUAAACUGCUUUUAUACGGGAAGAAAAAAUACUACGUGUAGUAUACUGACGGUACCGUAAGAAUAAGGAUCGGCUAACUCCGUGCCAGCAGCCGCGGUAAUACGGAGGAUCCAAGCGUUGGCCGGAUUUAUUGGGUUUAAAGGGUGCGUAGGCGGAUCUUUAAGUCAGUGGUGAAAGCCUGCAGCUUAACUGUAGAAUUGCCAUUGAAACUGAAGAUCUUGAAUGUGGUUAAAGUAGGCGGAAUGUAUCAUGUAGCGGUGAAAUGCUUAGAUAUGAUACAGAACACCGAUAGCGAAGGCAGCUUGCUGAACCAUUAUUGACGCUGAGGCACGAAAGCGUGGGGAGCGAACAGGAUUAGAAACCCGUGUAGUCC